ACUCCUGCGGGAGGCAGCAGUGGGGAAUUUUGGACAAUGGGCGAAAGCCUGAUCCAGCAAUGCCGCGUGAGUGAAGAAGGCCUUCGGGUUGUAAAGCUCUUUUGUCAGGGAAGAAACGGUGAGAGCUAAUAUCUUUUGCUAAUGACGGUACCUGAAGAAUAAGCACCGGCUAACUACGUGCCAGCAGCCGCGGUAAUACGUAGGGUGCAAGCGUUAAUCGGAAUUACUGGGCGUAAAGCGUGCGCAGGCGGUUUUGUAAGUCUGAUGUGAAAUCCCCGGGCUCAACCUGGGAAUUGCAUUGGAGACUGCAAGGCUAGAAUCUGGCAGAGGGGGGUAGAAUUCCACGUGUAGCAGUGAAAUGCGUAGAUAUGUGGAGGAACACCGAUGGCGAAGGCAGCCCCCUGGGUCAAGAUUGACGCUCAUGCACGAAAGCGUGGGGAGCAAACAGGAUUAGAAACCCGAGUAGUCGCAUG
This 473-nucleotide ribosomal RNA is filed under the name uncultured organism. Its description in RNAcentral is "partial 16S ribosomal RNA". It matches the Rfam family "Bacterial small subunit ribosomal RNA", at positions 335 to 799 of the family's 1533-position model. The record is from RNAcentral.